Molecule: non-coding RNA, 21 nt
Filed under: Caenorhabditis elegans
Lineage: Eukaryota; Metazoa; Nematoda; Chromadorea; Rhabditida; Rhabditidae
Source: RNAcentral
UUGUGCUGACUGAGUUAUACG